CUCCCAAGUGCUGGGAUAGAUGACUUAUAGAUUAGUUAUCUAUUGCUAUGUAAGAAGUUACUCCAAAACAUAGCUUAAAACAACAAUAAAAAUGUUAUCUCACAUUGGCUGUGUGGUUUGUUUGGAGUUUGCUCUGUAGCCCAGGCUGGCCUCAAACUUAACAGUCCCUCCCGCCUCCACCUCCUUGGUGCUGGGAUCACAAGCGUGCAUCACCUUGCCUGAUUUUUCACACUCUUUUUGAGUUAGAAAGUUGGGAGCUGCGAUUCUGGGUAGUUAUGGCUCAGGAUCUUCCAUGAUGCUGUAGUCACGAUGUCAAUGGGGAUCUAUGGGCAGGAGAUUGCGUCCCAGCUCAGACACUCAGGCAUGAUAAAUACAACCUUCCUCUGCCUUUUUGUUCUUUCUGCUUUCAGUGGGUUGGAUGGUGCCUACCUUCACCGGGGAGGGCCGUCUGCUUUACUCAUCCAUCAACUCAAAAGCUAAUCUCCUCCAGAAACACCCUCACAGAUACACUCUGCUAUGUGUAGUCAGCUACCUGCUGUGACCAUACAUAUGAUCACAGGCACAAACUGCUCCCUACCUUCUCCCCGCUCUGUACUUGGGGUGCUGAUUAUCCAUGGCAUGCUGUAAUGUCACCAUCAAGUCAUCGCCUGAAGCUGAUGUGAACUAACUAAAGCAUUUGCACUGAAACAACUGGCUGCUGCACUUGCCCACCCUGGUGCCGCUGAUACACGAAUGUGACAUGGGGUACACUACUUUUCGUGUACUACAACUUUCACAGUGAGAAAAUGACAAGCUUAGACUCUAACUCAGUUCAAGUCACAAUUUGAGAACUAGAGAACUUCCCCAACGGCGCAGAAAUUAUUUCUUGUAGCCAUGUAAUGGUACCAUUGAAAAAGCACUUAUGAAAGAUGUGAAAUUUAAUGCGUUAGCUUGUGUAGUUGUAGGUGGCUUUCACAGCUUCUCCUUUUGGCUGGCUGAAAUUUGGACUCAAAGGAGGCCUUCAGUUAAUGAGGCUGAGAUGCCAGAGCUGCAGUGCAUGCCGGGAAAGGAACACAAAGCCACCUCUCCCGGACUCUCUUCCUCUCAGUCUUCCCCUGCCUUCUCACCACUGUAUCCUCGACCCCAAGGGAUGUCAUUUCAGCUCCUGAAUAUCCAUCUCUCCCUCUUGUCAGGGGCUCCUGUUCUCUUUGCUUAGAAGGUUCUUCCUCCAAAACGGCUUCUCCUCAUCUGUCUAGUCUCAGCUUAAAUGUCUUCUUCCCUGCUACUGAAGUUCCUACCAUACUCCGCUGCUUCACCUCGUUCCUUCUGGUAUCUGCCAUUACUUGUAGUUAAUGUAUCGUUUAUCUGUCAAUUGCCUUUUCUCCGACUGCAGCUAAGGGCAAGGAUCAUGAUUGGUUUUUCGUUGCUUAUUCCUCUACAUUUAGCAAAAGACCUAGAAUGCAGCCAUUCGUUUUGUAUUUGAAAAAUGAAGCCGGGUGUGAUGGCACACGCUUGUAACGCCAGCACCGAGGGCGGCAGGAGUAGUGAGGUCGCAAGUUCAAAUCCCACCCGGACAAUUUAGCUAGCAAGGUCGUGUGCUGAAGUUUAAGGGGAUCUGAGGAUGUAGCUCAGUGGUAGAGCGCCCCUGCGUUCGAUCUCCAGUAUCAAUAAAUUAAUCAAUCAACGGGAAAAAGAAAGAAAAACGAACGGUCAAAGGCUGCAGAACUCGUCGUUAACAUUGCCCCGCCCUCUGUCCCUCACGCAUCACUCAAAGCCAAGGCCCAGCCUCAUACUCCCCGCCGGGGUUUCCCGGGCGCCCCAGGAAGGGCCCAGUCUCCCUUCCAGCAGCUCAGCCAAGGCUGGGGCCGCACCAGCUCCCAACAGUUCCACUGAGAUCCAGGAUUCCCGCGGCGCGGCCGGAAGUGACGCAAGAAGCGGAAGCGGUCCGGGCCCCAAGGACGCAGGAGGCUCCGUUCUCAUUGGUUGACCCGGGAAGAUGACAGCAGUACUAGGCCGGCUGUGAGCGUUCAAGGAUCGGCGCGGCGGAGCGAGGCAUCCAGUCCCCCGCUGUUUCGUAACCAUGGCCGGGAAAAGGAAACCGGGACAGCUUGGCGCCGAAGCCUCGAGCCGUUAGCCAGGCAACCGUGCGGUUUCUGGCGUGGAAGAAAAAUGGAGGACGUGAGCACAAACUCAGCCAUGAUUGGUCGAUUUUGCGGGAAUCCCGACACUUGAUUGGCCGAGACAGGCUUGAGGGCGGGACCUCCGAUUCAGAACCUUUCGGGUGUUGGGCUCCUUUGAGGGUAGGCGGGGGGAAUCCUGGCCGCGCCCCCACGCCCCGCGAGCUCGAGGAGCUGUCAGGUCUAGGCAGAGCCCCUGGACCCUGAGCGCUGGCCACAGAAAAGGGGUGGAAAGCGAGCGUGGCCUGUUUCCUUUGCCCUCAUCCUGAACCAGUCAGGUGGAGUUUUGCUGCGGCAGAGAGGCUAAGAUAUGAAAGGAGAAACAUUUCUGCUGGAUACUGUGAUCUCUGAGGUCCCCCGAGGCCACAGUGAAGUCUGAGUGACCCCCUGGAUGACUGGACAGCCCUCUGACUGGCUCAAGCCCUGACACUUGGCCCCAGCACACUGCCCACAUGACCUGAGGAACUGAAGUCAAACCAGGCAGUGCUCGCUGUCCAGGUGACUCCUCUUUGCCCUCAUGACCAGAGACUAUAGCUCCAGCGUCAUUUUAACGUUUCCUUCCUACCUACGCAUUAGAAAAUGAGCUCCUUGAGAGCAACCUGUCUUACUGUGAGAGCCCCCUCAGCCCAUUAUAUUCAACCAAGCAGAGAAAUGCCACUUCUGGUUGAAUGAAGCCAAGAGGACAAGCUGAAGGGAGAAAUCAGCUUUCUUUCUGGCCUCAGAAAUAACCAUCUAAUUCAGCUAGUCCUGCCAGCAGUCCUAAGCCCCACUAGCAGCUUCCAGACACCACUAAGCGCUGCCUAGGCUCAUCAGUCAGCAGUUUGCCAGUGUCCAGGUGACUUUAUUCCCUGGGCCACUCCCAUGGCCUCCUGAGUUCCAUGUCCCUGAAGGUGAAGACUGCCUGUUCUAGUUCUAUUAGAGCCCUGCCACAUAAUAUCAUGCGCUUAUUAAUAAACAAGGAUACAAGGUAUAAAAGUCUUA
Long non-coding RNA from Chinchilla lanigera (long-tailed chinchilla), 3137 nucleotides. RefSeq lists it as uncharacterized. Lineage: Eukaryota; Metazoa; Chordata; Mammalia; Rodentia; Chinchillidae. The record is from RefSeq and is a predicted model, not a curated record. The transcript is spliced from 2 exons.